Molecule: ribosomal RNA, 253 nt
Filed under: uncultured bacterium
Lineage: Bacteria
Description: partial 16S ribosomal RNA
Rfam family: Bacterial small subunit ribosomal RNA
Source: RNAcentral
UACGUAGGGUGCGAGCGUUGUCCGGAAUUAUUGGGCGUAAGGGGCUCGUAGGCGGUUUGUCGCGUCGGGAGUGAAAACCUUGGGCUUAACUCAGGGCUUGCUUUCGAUACGGGCAGACUAGAGGUAUGCAGGGGAGAACGGAAUUCCUGGUGUAGCGGUGAAAUGCGCAGAUAUCAGGAGGAACACCGGUGGCGAAGGCGGGUCUCUGGGCAACAACUGACGCUGAGGAGCGAAAGCGUGGGGAGCGAACAGG